This 468-nucleotide ribosomal RNA is filed under the name uncultured bacterium. RNAcentral's name for it is "partial 16S ribosomal RNA". It matches the Rfam family "Bacterial small subunit ribosomal RNA", at positions 28 to 507 of the family's 1533-position model. The record is from RNAcentral.
GACGAACGCUGGCGGCGUGCUUAACACAUGCAAGUCGAACGGAAAGGCCCUGCUUUUGUGGGGUGCUCGAGUGGCGAACGGGUGAGUAACACGUGAGUAACCUGCCCUUGACUUUGGGAUAACUUCAGGAAACUGGGGCUAAUACCGGAUAGGAGCUCCUGCUGCAUGGUGGGGGUUGGAAAGUUUCGGCGGUUGGGGAUGGACUCGCGGCUUAUCAGCUUGUUGGUGGGGUAGUGGCUUACCAAGGCUUUGACGGGUAGCCGGCCUGAGAGGGUGACCGGCCACAUUGGGACUGGGAUACGGCCCAGACUCCUACGGGAGGCAGCAGUGGGGAAUAUUACAUAAUGGGCGGAAGCCUGAUGCAGCAACGCCGCGUGCGGGAUGACGUCCUUCGGGUUGUAAACCGCUUUCGCCUGUGACGAAGCGUGAGUGACGGUAAUGGGUAAAGAAGCACCGGCUAACUACGUG